AGGUAGUAUUUAUAAUAAAAACCUAUUUAUUAUGGCGGCUUUUCAUCUAAUUAGAGGAACUUGUCAAAUAAUCGAUAAUCCACGAUAAUUUUAACUUUAAUUAAUAAAUUUAUAUACCGCCAUUAAAGAAUUUUUCCUUAAAUAUAUUCAUAAUAAUAAAUAAAAAAUUAGGUCAAGGUGUAGUUUAUAUUAAAGAUUAGAUGAGUUACAUAUAAACAAAAUUUAAGGAUUUUUAAUUUAAUAAAAUUUUAUGAAACAGGAUUUAUAAGUAAUUAUAUUAUAAUAAUAAUUUACAUUGAAAGAGAUAAUAAAAGUGC
RNAcentral lists this ribosomal RNA (317 nucleotides) under Miturga lineata. Its description in RNAcentral is "partial 12S ribosomal RNA". The record is from RNAcentral. Lineage: Eukaryota; Metazoa; Arthropoda; Arachnida; Araneae; Miturgidae.